UACAGAGGGUGCAAGCGUUAUUCGGAAUUACUGGGCGUAAAGCGCAUGUAGGCGGUUUAGGAAGUCUGGUGUGAAAUCCCCCGACUCAAUCGGGGAAGUGCAUUGGAUACUGCUAGACUAGAGUAUGGGAGAGGUGAGUGGAAUUCCAGGUGUAGAGGUGAAAUUCGUAGAUAUCUGGAGGAACAACAGAGGCGAAGGCGGCUCACUGGACCAUUACUGACGCUGAGAUGCGAAAGCGUGGGGAGCAAACAGG
RNAcentral lists this ribosomal RNA (253 nucleotides) under uncultured bacterium. RNAcentral's name for it is "partial 16S ribosomal RNA". It matches the Rfam family "Bacterial small subunit ribosomal RNA", at positions 524 to 776 of the family's 1533-position model. The record is from RNAcentral.